Molecule: ribosomal RNA, 505 nt
Filed under: uncultured bacterium
Lineage: Bacteria
Description: partial 16S ribosomal RNA
Rfam family: Bacterial small subunit ribosomal RNA
Source: RNAcentral
GGCGAACGCUGGCGGCGUGCCUAAUACAUGCAAGUAGAACGCACAGUUUAUACCGUAGCUUGCUGCACCAUAGACUGUGAGUUGCGAACGGGUGAGUAACGCGUAGGUAACCUGCCUGGUAGCGGGGGAUAACUAUUGGAAACGAUAGCUAAUACCGCAUAAUAUUAAUUAUUGCAUGAUAAUUAAUUGAAAGGUGCAAUUGCACCACUACCAGAUGGACCUGCGUUGUAUUAGCUAGUAGGUGAGGUAACGGCUCACCUAGGCGACGAUACAUAGCCGACCUGAGAGGGUGAUCGGCCACACUGGGACUGAGACACGGCCCAGACUCCUACGGGAGGCAGCAGUAGGGAAUCUUCGGCAAUGGACGAAAGUCUGACCGAGCAACGCCGCGUGAGUGAAGAAGGUUGUCGGAUCGUAAAGCUCUGUUGUAAGAGAAGAACGGGUGUGAGAGUGGAAAGUUCACACUGUGACGGUAUCUUACCAGAAAGGGACGGCUAACUACGUG